RNAcentral lists this long non-coding RNA (32666 nucleotides) under Setaria italica (foxtail millet). Its description in RNAcentral is "long non-coding RNA (SITA_LNC000888)". Lineage: Eukaryota; Viridiplantae; Streptophyta; Magnoliopsida; Poales; Poaceae. The record is from RNAcentral.
AGGAAGGCGCUAGGCUUGGAAAGCAGUUGUUGGCGCUGGUGGUCGAAGGUGAGGAUGAUACGGCGUGGAAGUUACUGGCUGAAUUUUGGUCGGAGAUGAUCGUGUAUGUCGCGCCAUCCGACAACCUCGAAGGUCAUUCGAAGGCCAUCGCCAGGGGUGGCGAGCUGAUAACUCUUGUCUGGGUGUUGCUCUUCCAUGCUGGGAUCGUCAGUAGGCCAGGUGAGGACGACGGCGUUGCUCCUACUUCUGCUGGCGUGGUUUAGUAGAGCCUCCUAUGUUUGGAACUACUGUUUCCUCCUUGUUUCGGAUUCUUCAUCGUGGUGCGUUGUCUGCAGUUGUUUGUUAUGUUGAGUUCAUUUCAAAUACCAGAAUUUGUUAACUUGUGGCAGCAUGUGACUCCAUCUUGGUAAUCUGAUCAUCAAUUGUAACAAGUCUAUUUAGAGGUCCUAUAAUAUUGUCGAGACUCGAUAUUCAGAUGUAAUGUUAAAUUAUUUCUACGUAUUGUGAUCAAUAUAUAUGUUUUAAUUUGGUAUUGUAAUGAAGUGCUAGUAUAUUACACUAUUACUAAUUGGAGGCUCCUAGUCCUGACGAUACGGAAAAAUAGAUAAAUCUUAUAAAUUCCCACAAAAUUAAAAUCAAAAACAUCCAACCGUCAAUCCAGUAGACUAUAAUCGUAAUAACCAUUGGAUCUAUUAUGUUCUAAAAAAUUAAUCACGUCCCUCAUUCUAAUAAUGGUAUAAAGUAACUCCUAAUUCUAUAUCGAAAUUACCCACCUCUAGCAUAGGUGGGUAAUUUAUAUAGUUGGCAUCAUAACGACACCCAGUUUCUAGUUGCGAAUUGAGCCGGUUAUGAUGCUGGAACACAACCAGUGGUGGAGGAUGGAAUAAAUUUAAGGUAUGACAAAAUCAAAAAUUGAAAGUAACAAAAAGAUAUCCUUUUCAUUAUAAUAGCACGAAACAGUGAAGGACGGAAUAAAUUGCAAGCACGAUAAUCAAAUAUUUAGGAGAUAAUAGCUGCAGGUCAAGAGAUGAUCAAACAUUUAGGAAAUUAUAACACACGAAAAUGCACAACCACCGAUUGACCAAAACCAAAAGGAAAUUAAAAUGAAUGCCUAAUGAUUUGAUUUCAAAUAAAAAAUGCUAAAAAUGAAAAUUUGCAAUCUGUACCUCUCAAUUUAGCCUUGCCCUUACCCUUCGACUCCAUUUUAGCCUAUGCACUUCUGAUUCCCUGCGCUGUACGCUGCUUCUCUUGGCGGCCGGCCGACGGUGCACUUCGGCACCUGCCGACCUCACGCUUGCUGCCUGCACCCGUACGUCGCACUGUCGCAUCUCGCAGGGCGCAACGUCGCAGCGUGACCUCGGGCCUCGACGUCGCCCGUGACCGGUGAUCGCCAAAGCGCUAAGGGUUGCGACGAGCACAAGCGCUAGCUAGGUCUCUCGUGUGGAUAUUGGGCUGCUAGUGUUUUGGGCCACUAUGCACCAGGGAAAAAAAACAAAUCAAUUGGCCCAAUGCAAAGAACACUCGGCCUUGGCAGCACGUUUCCUUUCUUCUUCCUGGACCUUACAUUCAUAUCAGUUCGUCGCUCAUACAGGCAGCCAUGACGUCCUGUGUGUAGAUGCAGCAACGGAAGGGGAAUGCCAUACUGGGCCCUCCGCCCCUGAGCACAACUGAUUCUUGAGCAACUGGGAGUGACAUGCAGUGCUGCAACAGUUCAAAUUAAAGGAACUGCAAAUAAAUGGAUGAAAAUGAAGGCAGAGAAAGAGGAAAAAGGAUCGAAUCAAAGAGAAAAAGGAAAAGGAAAACCCACAUGCUAUGCUAGGAUGAAGAUCAUGGCACACAGAUGCAGCCAAAGGGUCCGAUCGAUCCGAAAAGGAGAAGGGAACUGUGUGGUGGCGAUGACAGUUUUGUCUCUCUCUCAGUGCAGCGAUCUGGGCACUAAGGAAAGAACAAGGAAACAAUUUAUCGACACAAGCUGAUUUAUCGAUCAUCCUGUGAAGAAUUCUAUUUUUCUCGUUUCAAAAGCUCAUAUGGAUUAUCUCGUUGAGUUCCGGCUGUUUCUGUAUUCUCUCCAUGACUCCAAAGAGCAACAAAACCCACCACCAUAUUAACAACCAAAUAAAAACGCUUUCCAUAGAACAUAUGCUUCUGUCGGUGAAAUCGAAGAUGAAAGGACGAAUGAAGACGAGCAAAAAAGGAAAUGCUUUGUUUUGCGCUUUUGAGUCCCCCUACCAUCAUGCAUUUGUUCCAAUUUUAUUAUCAGCUUCGGUGCUGAGAAUGAUGUAAAAUUUUGCUGCGUGUAGUUGCAGAGGUCGGAAAUAAUUUCCUUUUUCUAAAAAAUACAUUUGUUCCAAUUGAGCCUGUAGGCUCAGGGCGUAGCAGCUCCCUUCAUAACGAAGGUUCACUUGUGUGGUCAAUAACCUCUUCCAAAGAGGCAGGGACGUCGGAACCUAGGGAAAGAUGCGAUAUGGUUUGCAAGAGAAUAUUUACUUGUGCUUAUUGCAAUGCGUGUUGCACGCAUAGUUCCUUUUUAGCUGCUUGUUCUUGUUUUUUUAUUUUCUUCCUUAAAACUUAUCAUUGACGGCGAAGUGGAAAUAUUAACAUGGCCUUAUCCUGAAUAACCAAAUUAAUUAAGUUAACUAAACAAUCAAAUUAAUUAAGCUAAAGAAGUGACCAUGUGCAUGGACUUCGCCUAUCUGCAACGGAUCUUUUGACUUGAAAGAAAAAUACCAAAAGGCAGUCAAGGUACCUUUUGGCGAGGAGACUAUCAUCAUUGCCAUAACAGAAAAUAUUUUAGGUUUAAUCUAGAUACCCUAGGCAGUAAUAAGGAGAUUACUUUACUAUUACUAAUUGGAUAUUCAUUUCAAAGGGCCGUUAUAAAAAAAAGUAAAUCCAAAAAAUAAUCAUAAAAAUAAAAAAAAAUCUGAGACCUUCGAUAUGGUAUACCCUAAUCAUCAAUGGUGGACCCACGGAUCGUACAGAGCCUGGCACUCUUCCUGUCUCCAGCAAACGAUGUUCCGACCAUGAACUAAAACAACUAUCCUCUUGCAGAUGUGGUGCCAGAACCCGAGUAGACGACCCAGGCCUCAGGACCACCCCGGUAAUCAUAUGAUAACAGUAGACAUUCAAUAUAUUAUGUUCUUUAAUAAUUACACACAUCUCUCGUUAAUGCAGGGAGCACUCCUGAAAAGGUGCACUUCUAACUUUAUCCUAAGUCAAGCCAUCUAAAAUUGGUGUCGUAAAUAUUAUAUCAGUACUCUGUUCUCUGUAAAUCUGGUUAAAUUAAAAAUAAUAACUUAGGAUAAAUCUAGAAAUAUUUUUUUAGGACAAAGGGAGUAAGUCCAUCUUAUUUGGUAAUAUUAAGGUUCUGUUUGGCAUGACUACAACUCCACAAAUUUCUUCUCCAACUCCCAAACUCCAGCUGAAGCUAACUCUAAGUGGAGUUGCAGUUAUCUAGAGGGGGUGUUUCACUAGAGGCUACCACCAACUCCAAAAAAUAGGAUUUUUUAGGAAGGAUUGACAUUGUUACCCUCAACUUGUGGCCCACCUGUCAUUCUCCCAUUCCCUAGCUUCUUCCACAGGAGGCCAAAGGAGCUCAUGUGGGAUGAGGGUCUCCUUGAGCUAGCAUGGCAGGACCCGGGAUGGCUACGGUAGCGCUGGCUGGUGGCAGCACAGGAUGGGCGCCGGUGGCGUGUGGUGUCGGUGGGAGCCGACACACCGGUCGGGCGGAGGUCGGGUGCCGACUCGAUUGGAAGUGGCGCCGGCCAGGAGGAGGCUGCGCGCUAGCGGAGCGCCAGGCAGGCAGAUGCGGCGUAUGUGGCGCCGGCCUGAAAGAGGCACCGCGUGAGGUUGGGCGUAGGCUCGAUUGGAGGAUGGAGCGGCCAUGGCCGGGGCUCGAGGCUCGUGCUUGGCCGUCGCAGGGAAGGAGAGAGGGGUGGGGGCAGCUGCACAUGGGGCCGUGCGGUGGCGCGGGAGGGGCGGGCUAGGCCGCGGGAGGAGUGGGGGCUGGCCGGUGGCGCGUCAGUGAAAGGAAGAGAGAGGAAGGUCGAGGCUGAGAUAGGGACGGGAGAAAGAAGAAAAGAACGAAUCAAUUUUUUUAACGAGUGUCAGUGGUGGGUAAAUACCCCCUAACUCCACGUUCAGAUCUAUAUUCAAGAUUCAUGGAGUUGCAAAAGGGGUGCUUAGGGGGGUGUUCGAUGUUUUUUCUGGAGCUGGAGUUUGUGGAGCUGGAUGUGUUUGGCAGGCAAUUUUGUGGAGUUGGUGAAGUGGAGCUUUUUUUCUAGAGUGAAGUGUUACCAAACACCCCUAGAAAAAGAACUACAGCUCCAUAAACUCCAUGGAGUUAAGUUGCUCUAUAAGUUUGUGGAGUUAAGGUGUUUGGCUGGCCACACUCAACUCUUGGCUGAAGUUUGAAGUUGGAGUCAUGCCAAAUAGGACUUAAGAACAGAAUAAUCGAAUCUCACCGUUUGCAUGGACGAAUCCAAACGUAAUCCUAUUGUGGUCUCCUUUUUUCUCCUUCAUUGUGGUCUUACUGCUUUAGCCUUUAGCUCUACGCUGCAUCGUCAUCCAAUCCUAUUGUGGAAGUCAGGAAUCAUACUACAUCGAAGGGCAAAUUAAAAGCACGGUUGUGCAGGCAAAAGCCGGAGGUCCAAAGCACACUGGAGGUAGCAAAGAAGAAAGAAACGCGCGCCUCUUGGCACAGCCUCUCUAUAAAUAACCAAGCAUAGUUCCCGGGCCAGCGGCCAGCAGGAUUGCACGGGCAUCAUUCAUCAGUCAGCUGCAUCUGUCGAUCUCUACCAGCUUACGGUAACUCCUUUAAUUUCUUGUAAUAAUCAUUAGAACUAAGAAGAACUGAUGCUAGUUAAGACACUGAUAAUCUAAAAGAAAGUAACAACACUGAUUGGUUUAUGCAUACUCGUUGCUUAACUAAACCUUUCUCAGUUUGCGUCCUACUACAUCCUAUUAUGUGCCUUUGAUUUCCAGUAGAGCUUGAUUACACUAAUGCCUUGAGCCUCUGUGCAACAAACUUGUUCUGGAUGUUGAAUGUUGGCAGUCACCUGGCCAACACAUGGCUGGACAGAAUUCUACUGGAAGCCCCAACAGCAAUGAAUGCAACGUCGAUUUGCUGGUCUCAUUCGACAAGAGCAUGGAAGAGAGCAUGUGGCGCGUGAAUGCCCUGCUCCUUGCCAGCGGCGUCCUAGCAGGACUUAUUGUCGGGAUAGGCGUCUAUGGCCAGCGCUACCGGCACCACCGCUUCACCCGCUUCAUCUUUUUUGGAGCCACCACACUGCUCUUGCCCAUCAUCUCUACCGUCGUCUCCAUGGGUGACGGGUUCCAUUACUACAUCAUGGACGAUCCGAGCUUCAAUAAUCGGUUGAUUGCAAAGUGCCAGCCAAUAGAACACUCUCUCCUGGUUGUACUAUGGGCAUCCCUUGUUCAGAUCAUCAUGAUCAAUUGCAGCACAGUAGUUGCUGUUGAUGAAAGAGAAGGUGGAAACGUAGGCCCUCCUUUUGAGCUGCUUGUUCAGGGGGUCUGGACGUUUUACCUUGGUAUCAGCUACGCCUUUGGUUCCGGCACAUAUCUCCUCGAGGACCCGGUUUAUGUUUCACUUGAAGUCACACCUUUUGCUCUCACAUGUGCCAAAAUGGUAUUGAAAUAUUAUGCAUAUGAAAAGGCGCGACAAUCCUUUGCACUCGGACGCAAUCCUCAUCUAAUUUUUGGAUACAUGCAGCAACCACUGCUACAAGAAACAAGACAACAAGGUGAGACAGCAACGGUAGCUGAGGAUGCACCUCCUCCUCCACUAUUGGUUAUGGGAGAGGAGAGGAGACGCGUGGAGAAGCAGCCUCAUGGUUAUGUGUUCAAGGAUGACUCAGGGUCAAUGCUGCACAAAAGCAAUGGAUUGGUGACUAUUGACAGAGUUUGGAAGUGGGACAGCAUGCCUCCAAUGUCGUCAACUGUAAACCGACUAAAAGACUUAUGCUUGUCAUUUGCACCGUUCAAGCUGUUACGGUGCCGAUUAGCAAGGUACAAGCUCACUAGUUCCAGAUAAAAUGAUACUGUCAGCUUUUUCUGGAGCUUGUUGCUGAAGGAUGGCGGACAUGACAGAGUAUUUCGAGUGAUUUCGGAUGAGCUCUCUUUUGUCCAUGAUUAUUAUUACUCAUCUCUCCCGAUAUCUUAUUCCAAGAGUUGGUUGCUGAGAACCAAUGGUGGUCACCCUUGGAUGAUGAGUGAUUGACAACGUUGUGUUGGUUUGAUGUUUCUCUUGACUUGUGAUGUGCAGGUGUAGGAUGCGACGUGACGGUCAACGGCGUGCGGUGAAGGUCAAGCGAAAGGUUCAUGCCGAUGGACCAAGGGCAGUGAAGGAUGAACGCGAGUAGGCUUGGACCGAUGGACCCGAGGAGUCCGGGCGAAGUCACGGCGAUCCACAUGGUGCACGGAAUGGCGAGAGGGCAUGACAGGUUGGAGACGGCGCCGGUCGAGUCAAGCGGGAGGCUUCGCGGAGGCCGGACACGCGUCAAUGGACGGUUUGGGUGGUUUGGGCCUCAAAACCACCGCGCAGUCAGGUUUCCCGGUUUGGGCCUCAAAACCGGGGGCGAGCCCGGUGCGGCCGGAGCUUCAAGAAGGAGGGCACGUGGCGUCAUCGCGAAGCUUGCGUCGAGGCGAAGCAAAGUCGUGAAGACGGCGUGUCCAUCCGAUGUGAGGAUAAAAACUUGGACCAAAAUUCCCCUGCGUGGGUAGUUAUCUUAGUUGUAGCUGUAGGGGUAUUAUAGUCUUUCGUCCUGGACUAUAAAUAGGGAUGGGGGCUGGUUAUUUCAGCACCUCUUUGCUUAGGAACUCAUUAUCUAUUUGCUUAGAGGCUAGUCAUGUGCUUAAAGUGAGAGGAGAGAGGGGGAUUAGGGAGUGAUUACUCUUUUCUCUUGAUUUCUUCAUCUUUAGUGGGUGGAUGAAGGGAGGAGGCUAGUCCUCAUCUUGUAUAUAAGAUGUUCUCGUGAUUUAGCUUUGUUUGUUGUCUCAAAUCGUGCUAAAUCUUUGAUUCCCGAGCGUUUUUCUUUUUCCCUAUUUUCGGAGCUAUUUUGGGGGAAUUUUCGUUCAUCAUGUUUGAGCCCGAAUCUCGUGAGAUUGGUUGAAGGGAAAUGUUGCUAGAACCUUGGAGAGCAUCUUUGAUAUGAUCCUCCUCCAAAUCCCUCACGAAUUCGGCUUGAUUUUGAGUUUUUCCCAAAUCGUGUUCUUGAGUUAGGGUUUCGAUUCUCUCCAAAAUUAGUGAUGAAUACUUGAGCUUUUUAGGAUUUGUUUCAUGGAUCUAUUUGCCCUGGGGGUAUUGCUUACAUGUCUCAAGUUUCAUCUCGAUCCACUGAGUAUGAAAGGAGAUCUUGUGAUUUAAAGUUGGGGUAUGUUCUGCGAGUUCUUCCUGUUCUUCCUGCGUUCUUUCUGUUCUUCGUUGCUUCUCUAGUGCAGGGAAUCGAGCGCAGAAGCCUCGGACGGGUGCGUGCUCAGCGAGUGCUUCGUGGGCCGUCUGCAGCACAGCAGCGCAACUGGUGCAUUGCGUGCCUGGCCAGGGACUCGGCCCAGGCAGGCCAGCACCAGGCCGCGAGCGCUACGCAGGCCAGCGACACGGUCCAGUUCAGUGGCCAGCAGUCCAGCAGGCCGCUCGCUUCACAGGCCAAGUAGGCCUUUCACGUGUAGGCCUAGCAAGGUCAAGUGGGCAAACAGGAAGUAACAGGGGCACGCAGCCCAAUAGCACAUGUCGAGGUGAGAAGCAGGCUGCGCGGAUCAGUGAGUUUUUCUCUUGUCUCUUUGCUAAUUCCAUGCAAUAAUUAGUUCUCUGUUAAUUCCUUCGGUUAGCUAAUUAAUUUGUGACAUCUUAUUUAGCUACUGUCCUUAAUAUAUCUUUUGCUAAUCAAGUCUAGCUGUUAAUUAUUCUGUUCUCUCAUUUGCUAAUCACGCCUAGCACUUUAGAUUAAUCUUUUUCUCUUGCUUGCUUAGUUGAGUGAUUAGCUAGUAGUGAUCUUGGUUGAUCGUGUUUUGAGCAAACUUGUUAGAAUCAUUUUAUGUCUUGUUUCCGCUGUGAUUUGUGUGUCUCUUAUCGUUCCUAGGGUGAGCUAGUCACGAGUUGACUUGCGUCAUCUUGACGAUUUAACGCACCAUGUGCUUUGGGGUUGCGUUUGGGACAUAGGCCCUUUUUUCGUUGAGAAUUUUUAUAGGCUCCCAUUCACCCCCCCUUUGGUCGCCCUUUCGGUCCUUCAAUUGGUAUCAGAGCCGGUUAAGGUUUCUCCAUACCCUAAUCGGUUUCGAAACCUAUUAUGGCGACCUCUGAGCGUUCUUCCUCGACCGCUGCACCCUACUUUGAUGGCUCUGAUUAUCGGUAUUGGAAAACUCGCAUGAGAGCCCAUCUAAAUAGUAGGGGAGCAGGGGUUUGGGAAAUCACUCAGGAUGUGACUUAUGUGAUUCCUGCUACUCGUGUGACUCAGGAUGAAAGGGAUAAGUAUCACGCCAACAGCAAGGCGGUUGAUAUUCUGUUUGCGAGUCUGAGUCGUGCUGAGUUCGAUCGAGUCGAAGAUCUCUCUCUUGCUCAUGAGAUUUGGUCUCGACUUCAGAGUUUCCACGAGGGAAACGGUCAGGUGAAGGCUAAACUCUUUGAGACUUAUAGGCGUGAGUAUGAGAACUUUGUUCAUUUGCCUGGUGAGUCUGCCGAUGCUUUGUUUCAGCAUUUCUUGGCUAUUGUGAACAAGAUGAAAGCAAAUAUCACCGUCUUACCCUACACUGAUCAUGAUAGAGCUUUAAAGCUCAUGCAUGCCUUGGAUCACGAAGUGUGGGGUACGAAGGUUGAUGCUAUCAUCGAGUCACCGAAUUAUGAAACACUUUCCACUGAUGAACUCUUUGCCAAGUUGAAAUCCACGGAGGUUGACAAGAGGCUCCGAGCAAAACAAGGAGGCCCUACUGAUCCAAAUAGUAUGGCUCUCAUGUCAGGCUCUGGACAGCCUAAGUCUUUGAGUAACUCUUCUUCUAUGUCGUUUGCCUUGUCUUCUUUGGUUUCUGUUUCAGAGGAGCAGCUGGAGGUUCUUGAUGAUGAUGAGCUCGCCUUGAUCACGAGGCGAUUCAUGCGCUUCAAUGACAACCGCAAGAACAGGCGAAGGAACAACAACAACUGCUUCGAUUGUGGCAAGCCAGGCCACUUCGCCGCCGACUGCCCCGACAAGAACAAAACCAAGAGCAAGUACGACUACAACAAGCACAAGAACAAGGACGGCACCAAGAAGAAGAAGAAGUACACCGACCGCGAGAAGAAGGAGUAUCGCAAGAAGGCCAAAGCACAUGCCUUCAUCGCCUCCCUCAGCGACGUCGACUCCGACACCGACGACCACACCGACUCAAGCUCAAGCGAGGAGGACGACGACCGCAAGGCAAAGAAGAAGGACGGCAAGAACUUCAAUGGCCUCUGCUUCUACUCCGACAAGAACCGCGACGGGUACUGUGUCAUGGCUCUCAACUCCAAGAAGGAUGACAAGGAAAGUGACUCCGACACAGAAACUAAGGUAAAAUCUACUCCUGAACAACUUGCUCUAGAAGUAGAAGAACUUAAUGAUUGCCUAAUCAAUCAAGAUAAACUGCUUAAGAAGGCUGCUAAAGAGCGAGUUGAGCUUAAGGCUAAGAUAGAAAGUGCCUUAAUUGAGAUAGAUAUGCUUAAAUCUGCUUCUGCUGUUUCUGAUGUUGUUGAGUGUGAUGAAUGUGGUGUUCAUAUGGCUAGUCUUGCAUCUUUACAAUCUAAGCAUGCUUUGUUGGUAGAUGAAUUGGAUCUGACUAGGGCUGCUUUAGAUGAGGUCAAGACUAGGCCUAUUUUGCUUGGUGCAUGUAAGUCUUGCCCUGCUUUGCAAGUUCAGUUGGAUGAUGCAUGUGCUAAGCUUAGUGCUUUAGAGUAGUCUGAGUUUAUUGCUAGAUCUAAACUUCCUGAAUGCACUGUUUGUCCUGAACUCAAGCUUAAUUUGCAACAUGUUGAGGAUGAAAACUCCUACUUGCGCACUGUUCUUAGUUGGGUGUCAAGUAGGGAACCUCAGCUAGGCAUGAUGAUUCAGGAGUUCAAAAGGGCUGAUGGUUUUGGGCUUGGGUCGGUUAUGAAGGAAUGUCUUUUUAAUGGGUUGCACAAGUUCUUUGAUGGGUUGUGUGAGAAGGUGGGUCAAAACAGUGGUGAGAGAAAGAAACCAAGCUACAAUCAGUGUGAGCCACCAAUUGACUACACCCCUCGAGAGUCACCCACUAAAAAUAGAGAGCAACCCAAUCCAGCUUGCGAGCAAAACUUGUCUGAGUGUGUGAGAGAUGGAAUUUUCAUUGAGACACCACCUAAAGCACCCAAGAAAGCCAUUUGGGUGGAAAAGCCAAACCACCUUAAGAACAAACUUGACACACUUCCAGAAAUUGCUCCUAAGAAACCUCCACCAAAACCCCAAGACAAGUCACAACCUAGAGUGAAUCCUCAGCCAAAACAGCCGGCUAGAUUCCACUGUGAGUAUUGCAAGAGAUGGGGUCACCUUGAGGAGUUUUGCUUUCGCAAGAAGAAGGCUUUGAGGCGUGAGCGUGAGUGGGGCAACAGGGACAUGUACCACCCUUCUCAUGGUGUACAUGCGCCUAGAGCAGCUCCUCCACCUCGUCGUGUGGAUAGUGUGCGUUUUGCUCCUUCGCGUGUUUUUGCUAGGCAUGCUCCUCGCCAUGAUCAAUAUGGCCCAGGACAAUAUGGCCGUUACUUUGAGUCUCGGAGCUACAACGGAUCACGUUUUCCCCCUAGCGUUGGUCGUAGUCCUCCUGUGAGACGAGAGAUGGUUGAUUUUGAUAACCCCACUCUUGAGCAAAUGGUUCGACACUGGUAUUCUACUUGUUUUUCUAACCCCAGUGUUGAGUCAUUUGCUCAUCCUUGGUCUCCCUUUGUUUGAGCAGGUCAGAGGACUGGAGAACACGUGGCUUAUUGAUUCCGGUUGCUCUCGACACAUGACCCGUGAUCACAGAUGGUUCUCCAGCCUCACCCCGGUGAUGACCAAGGAGUACAUCACUUUCGGGGAUAAUAGCAAAGGUAAGGUGUUGUCUGAAGGUGUUAUCAAGGUGAGUGAGAAUUUCAUGCUCAAGCGAGUUGCUCUAGUUGAUUCUCUUGGUUUCAAUUUGCUCUCUGUGUCGCAACUGCUUGAUGAUGGUUUUGAGGUCCGUUUUAAGCAAGGGACCUCAAGGAUUUUAGACUCUCGAGGUGAUCUUGUGUGUAUGAUCAUCCCCGAGGGUCAAGUGUUUCGAGUUGAUUUUUCCAAGUCAUUUGGUCUUUCUCGAUGUUUAGUGGCUGGCUCAUCUUCUGAACUUUGGAAAUGGCAUAGGAGAUUGGGUCAUUUGAGUUUUGAUUUGCUUUCCCGCUUGAGUACUUUGGAUCUUAUUCGUGGUUUGCCCAAAUUAAAGUUUGAGAAAGAUCUUGUUUGUGCUCCCUGUCGACAUGGGAAGAUGGUUGCUGCUUCCCAUCCACCUGUGAAUCAGGUGAUGACUGAACAUCCAGGCGAGCUGUUGCAUAUGGACACUAUUGGUCCAGCUCGUGUUUGUUCAGUCGGUGGGAAGUGGUAUGUGCUUGUGAUCGUUGAUGAUUUUUUGAGGUAUUAAUGAGUUUUCUUCAUGGAAUCUAAGGAUGAGGCAUUUCUUUUUGUUCGAGAUUUGAUCUUGAGGUUGAGAAAUGAGCGACCAAAAGAUGCCAUGAGAGCUAUCUGCAGUGACAAUGGCACAGAAUUCAAAAACGCUCGUUUUAAAGCCUUUUGCAAUGAUCUUGGUCUUGAACACCAGUUUUCAUCGCCUUAUGUCCCUCCUCAGAAUGGUGUUGUUGAACGGAAGAAUCGGACCCUUUGUGAAAUGGCUAGGACGAUGCUUGAUGAGCAUAGGACUCCUAGAAAAUAUUGGGCCGAAGCCGUCAACACUGCUUGCUAUGUGUCCAAUCGAAUCUUUUUGCGAGCUUUCCUGAAGAAAACUUCUUAUGAGCUGAUGCAUCGACGUUCCCCCAAAGUGAGUCAUCUGAGGGUGUUUGGCUGCAACUGUUUCAUUCUCAAGCAAAGAAAUUUGGAUAAAUUUGAGUCUCGUUCUACGGAUGGGAUUUUUCUUGGUUAUGCUUCUCAUAGUCGUGAUUAUCGUGUGCUUAACCUUGAAACUAACCGGAUUGUGAAAACUUGUGAGAUUACAUUCGAUGAAACUAUGCCUUGCACAACUCCUGUCUUUGAAGUUGCAGGUGAACAUGAAAUGGGGCAAAGCAUAUUUGAGGAAGAGAAAGAGCGUGUAGAUGGUGGUGAGGAAGAGGAUGAUGAGAUUGACCGAGCUCCAGCUGUUGCACCUGUACCUUCUACUUCGACUACGAGAGUUGAUGGCCCUACCUCUACUUCCACUACUUCAAGCCAUCAACCAGUACCACUACAGGAUGAAGAAGAAGAAGAUCAGAGUGAUCCAGCUGCUGUUGAGGGGGAGACGACUUCAGAGCGAGAGGCUCCACGGCACAUUCAACGUCGUCAUCAUCCACAACAGAUGAUCGGUAACUUACAUGAACGCACCACUAGGCACAGCUCUAGGCAUAUUUCACACUUUGCACAUUCUGCAUUUGUUGCCUCUUUCGAACCCCGAGAUAUUGGACAUGCUUUAUCUGAUUCAAAUUGGGUUAAUGCCAUGCAUGAGGAGUUGGAGAACUUUGAGCGAAACAGGGUUUGGGUUUUAGUUGAACCACCUCCAAAUUGCCAUCCUAUAGGAACAAAAUGGGUUUUCAAAAAUAAACAAGGUGAGGAUGGGUUGAUUGUGAGAAACAAAGCGAGGUUGGUUGCCCAAGGUUUUAGCCAAAAAGAGGGGAUAGAUUAUGAGGAAACCUUUGCCCCUGUUCCCCGUUUGGAAGCAAUUAGAAUCCUUCUAGCCUUCUCUGUGGCUAAAGGUUUUAAGCUCUUCCAAAUGGAUGUGAAAAGUGUCUUCCUAAAUGGUUUCAUAGAGGAGGAAGUGUAUGUGAAACAACCCCCUGGUUUUGAGAGUCCUAAAUAUCCUGAUCGUGUUUUCAAACUCCAGAAAGCUCUCUAUGGCCUAAAACAAGCACCCCGAGCGUGGUAUGCUAGAUUGAAAUCCUUUUUGCUUGGGAAUGGGUUUGAAAUGGGAUCAGUUGAUAAAACACUCUUUCUCCUCAGGCAAGGCAAUGACUUAUUGAUUAUUCAGAUAUACGUGGAUGAUAUAAUCUUUGGUGGUUCUUCUCAUGCUUUGGUUGCCAAGUUUGCAGAUGACAUGAGCAGGGAGUUCGAGAUGUCGAUGAUGGGUGAGUUGACCUUCUUCCUCGGGCUACAGAUCAAGCAAAGCAAGGAAGGAAUCUUCGUGCACCAAGGGAAGUACACGAAGGACGUGUUGAGGAAGUUUGACAUGGCUGAUGCUAAGCCACUCUCCACACCCAUGGGUACGACGACGGCACUAGAUGCGGAUGAAGAUGGUGAACCGGUGGACCAGAAGGAGUACAGAAGCAUGAUCAGCUCCCUCUUAUACCUGACGGCGACGAGGCCGGACAUACACUUCUCCGUGUGUCUGUGCGCUCGUUUUCAGGCUUCACCAAGGACAUCUCACCGCCAGGCAGUGAAGAGGAUCAUGAGGUAUCUCCGCUUUACCCCUGAGUUCGGUUUGUGGUAUUCUGCCUCCUCGACACUCACGCUCAGGGGAUACUUCGAUGCGGACUUUGCUGGGUGUCGCUUGGAUCGCAAGUCUACCUCGGGUACUUGCCAGUUUCUCGGUUCGUCUUUGGUCUCUUGGUCUUCUCGCAAACAAUCUAGUGUUGCUCAGUCUACCACCGAAGCUGAGUAUGUUGCUGCUGCUAGCUGUUGUUCUCAGCUGCUUUGGAUGAUUUCCACUUUGAGAGACUUUGGUUUGGAUUUUACUCGUGUACCUCUUCUUUGUGACAGCACGAGUGCCAUUAGUGUAGCCAAGAACCCAUUCUCCACUCAAAAACUAAACACAUUGAUGUGAGAUAUCAUUUUCUGAGAGAUCAUGUUGAGAAAGGGGAUAUUGACCUUGGCUAUGUUGCUACCCAAAACCAACUCGCGGACAUUUUCACCAAACCCCUGGAUCAAGCCACUUUUGCUCAUUUGCGGGGGGAGUUGGGUGUUUGCUUUCCUUUCUGAGUUGGGUUUUUGGAGCUUCUCUUGUAUUAUACUUGUAUCAUUUUUGUACAAAACAUGGUAGGAUAGCUACUUUUUCAUGAUAGCUUUGAGUUCUUCAUGUAUAUCUUAUCAUGCUAUUUUUGUGAUAUAUUGUGGUGGAUGAUACAUAUGAACAUCAUGUCAUGCUUUACCUUAGUUCACAUUUGGGUAUGGCAUGUUGUUCAUCUGUAUCAUUUUAGCUUAGUUUCCAUGCAUUUUGUAUCAUAUUGCAUUUUGUAUCAUGUUGCACUAGAUGAGCUUCUCCUAUAUAUCUUGCGUACUCUCUUAUGCUACUUGUGAGGUAGUGCUGUGGUUGGUGAUUUUGAUGCAAUGUGCAAUUAUGCUCUUGAUGAUAUUGUAUACUUGUUGAGAUAACUGUUUUUGAAAUUCAAUGCUAAAUUCUACUCUAUUAACUUGCUUAUCACCCAUGAGUAGAUGCUUGGUUAUGGUUUGCCCUUGGUUGAAUACUGGUUCCAUAUCUAGCUUAUGUUUGGAAUCCAUGUUCUUUUCAAUUGGGUCAAAGAUCUAGGUAUCAUUGCAAAUGUUUAGCCCAUGAUGCACCCCUUGGGGAAGCAUGGCUUCUUUGUGCCGUAAAGGCAUUUCAUGUAUUUUGUUUUGUAUGAAUACUGAAAAAAUAUGCUGAAAACUUCAUAAAUUCACCAAGUUUUUGUGCUUAAUGUGAUAUUAUUGCUUGCUUAGUUGUUACAAGAUGUCUACCAAAAGAAGUAGACACUUGGUUUCAACAAGCUUUAAACAUGACUUGUGAUGCAUAUGUGGGUGUUUGCAAUGAUCUCUUGUUGAGAAUGGAUUUUCCUAGUAUGAGCUCUUGAUGGACUAGUCUAUUCUUGCUUGGGUGAUUCUUAACUAGGUGAAUGCUCAUGUGGUGAUCUUUUUAUACAUUGCUAAAAUUUGAUACUUGCUUCAUCUCCACUGUUGUAACUUGAUAUCAUCUUGUUGGCGAUGCUAUUGUUUCUUAUGACCUAUCAAGCUUUAUCUCCCUAGUAGCCUUUGAGAGUGCAUUGUGAUAUAUUUGAGAAGCUUGUUAGGUUCUGCAUUUCCAUGGCAUGCACUUUGUCCUUUCAUGCUUUUCUUGAUGAUUGCAUUGUCAACAAGGGGGAGAGAAAUCUACACAAACUCUUUCAUCUAUCAAGGGGGAGACUUUGCAUGUAUGCAUGAUUUCAGGGGGAGUGCGUAUGUUCAGGGGGAGUAGUUAUGAGUUGUUAUACUCUUGUUAUGCUCGUUAUGCUCUUAUGCCCUUGUACCGGUCGCGUUGAGCUGUUUACCUCUUCUUGAGGAGCCGGUUUUGAUUUGAGUUUGGAUUUUCAUGUGAUUGGUGUUGAGCCCGUUUUCUACCUCUUCUUGAGGGAUCACAUGAUUUUGUCUCAGUUGUGUAGAGCCGUUGCCCUUAUCUUAGGGGACUGAGAUUUUUCUAUUUUGAGUUUCUUGUUUUUCUGUUUCAAUACUAUGAAUUUGUGGGGUGUUGUCAAUGCACUCAUCAAGGGGGAGAUUGAGGACCAAUGGUGGUCACCCUUGGAUGAUGAGUGAUUGACAACGUUGUGUUGGUUUGAUGUUUCUCUUGGCUUGUGAUGUGCAGGUGUAGGAUGCGACGUGACGGUCAACGGCGUGCGGUGAAGGUCAAGCGAAAGGUUCAUGCCGAUGGACCAAGGGCGGUGAAGGAUGAACGCGAGUAGGCUUGGACCGAUGGACCCGAGGAGUCCGGGCGAAGUCACGGCGAUCCACAUGGUGCACGGAAUGGCGAGAGGGCAUGACUGGUUGGAGACGGCGCCGGUCGAGUCAAGCGGGAGGCUUGGCGGAGGCCGGACACGCGUCAAUGGACGGUUUGGGUGGUUUGGGCCUCAAAACCACCACGCACGUAGGUUUCCCGGUUUGGGCCUCAAAACUGGGGGCGAGCCCGGUGCGGCCAGAGCUUCGAGAAGGAGGGCACGUGGCGUCAUCGCGAAGCUUGCGUCGAGGCGAAGCAAAGUCGUGAAGACAGCGUGUCCAUCCGAUGUGCGGAUAAAAACUUGGACCAAAAUGCCCCUGCGUGGGUAGUUAUCUUAGUUGUAGCUGUAGGGGUAUUAUAGUCUUUCGUCCUGGACUAUAAAUAGGGAUGGGGGGCUGGUUAUUUCAGCACCUCUUUGCUUAGGAACUCAUUAUCUAUUUGCUUAGAGGCUAGUCAUGUGCUUAAAGUGAGAGGAGAGAGGGGGAUUAGGGAGUGAUUACUCUUUUCUCUUGAUUUCUUCAUCUUUAGUGGGUGGAUGAAGGGAGGAGGCUAGUCCUCAUCUUGUAUAUAAGAUGUUCUCGUGAUUUAGCUUUGUUUGUUGUCUCAAAUCGUGCUAAAUCUUUGAUUCCCGAGCGUUUUUCUUUUUCCCUAUUUUCGGAGCUAUUUUGGGGGAAUUUUCGUUCAUCAUGUUUGAGCCCGAAUCUCGUGAGAUUGGUUGAAGGGAAAUGUUGCUAGAACCUUGGAGAGCAUCUUUGAUAUGAUCCUCCUCCAAAUCCCUCACGAAUUCGGCUUGAUUUUGAGUUUUUCCCAAAUCGUGUUCUUGAGUUAGGGUUUCGAUUCUCUCCAAAAUUAGUGAUGAAUACUUGAGCUUUUUAGGAUUUGUUUCAUGGAUCUAUUUGCCCUGGGGGUAUUGCUUACAUGUCUCAAGUUUCAUCUCGAUCCACUGAGUAUGAAAGGAGAUCUUGUGAUUUAAAGUUGGGGUAUGUUCUGCGAGUUCUUCCUGUUCUUCCUGCGUUCUUUCUGUUCUUCGUUGCUUCUCUAGUGCAGGGAAUCGAGCGCAGAAGCCUCGGACGGGUGCGUGCUCAGCGAGUGCUUCGUGGGCCGUCUGCAGCACAGCAGCGCAACUGGUGCAUUGCGUGCCUGGCCAGGGACUCGGCCCAGGCAGGCCAGCACCAGGCCGCGAGCGCUACGCAGGCCAGCGACACGGUCCAGUUCAGUGGCCAGCAGUCCAGCAGGCCGCUCGCUUCACAGGCCAAGCAGGCCUUUCACGUGUAGGCCUAGCAAGGUCAAGUGGGCAAACAGGAAGUAACAGGGGCACGCAGCCCAAUAGCACAUGUCGAGGUGAGAAGCAGGCUGCGCGGAUCAGUGAGUUUUUCUCUUGUCUCUUUGCUAAUUCCAUGCAAUAAUUAGUUCUCUGUUAAUUCCUUCGGUUAGCUAAUUAAUUUGUGACAUCUUAUUUAGCUACUGUCCUUAAUAUAUCUUUUGCUAAUCAAGUCUAGCUGUUAAUUAUUCUGUUCUCUCAUUUGCUAAUCACGCCUAGCACUUUAGAUUAAUCUUUUUCUCUUGCUUGCUUAGUUGAGUGAUUAGCUAGUAGUGAUCUUGGUUGAUCGUGUUUUGAGCAAACUUGUUAGAAUCAUUUUAUGUCUUGUUUCCGCUGUGAUUUGUGUGUCUCUUAUCGUUCCUAGGGUGAGCUAGUCACGAGUUGACUUGCGUCAUCUUGACGAUUUAACGCACCAUAUGCUUUGGGGUUGCGUUUGGGACAUAGGUCCUUUUUUCGUUGAGAAUUUUUAUAGGGUCCCAUUCACCUCCCUUUGGUCGCCCUUUCGGUCCUUCAGUUGCCCAUCGUGGGUAUCUUUAUUUCAGUCUUGAGCAUAGCUUAUUGCAUCUUUGCUGCAGUGAUUCUCACUUUUAUCGUAUUGACUGGAGGAAUAACUAACUCUCAGAUUGCGUGUGCGAUCAGUUGCUCGAAACACCAUCAGGAAAGCAACAUAUGGGGCAGAUCUUAUGGAAGAGGGUUCUUCGAUGUGGUGCCAAUAUUUUUGCUUUUGGUGCUAGCUGUGAUAUCUGAGGUGAGGGACAUUGCUUCCCACAUGUUCUCCAGCUGGACCAAAGUAGCCCUCAUGUGCCGCCUUCUAAAACAGACCACAUCUCAGCAUUCACUUCCCAAGAAUAAAUGGAUUGGCCUUCUGUUGCGUAGAAGAUGCAAGCUGAUGAGGUAUUGGGAUGAGAAGAUGGGCCAGUGCUUGGUGCUGGGGCUUCAGCCAGGAACAACCCCACUUGUUUUUCUGUGGCGUCUCCUCCGUUUACCAGACCAAAAAACAAAGGUGAAGGUGCCAGAAGCAGUGAAAGUUUCCAUCAUCCAUGAGCUGAGAAGAAGCAAAAAUGGAUGCCUGAGCGACGGCACAUCAUCUCUGCGCCGGAGCCAAGCUGGUGAUAACCUUCUCUGGGCCUGCAACAACAAGGAUACAUCUGAUACCAUACUUACAUGGCACAUCGCCACAAGCAUCCUUGAGGUCAGGUACCCCAACCGACAUGAUCAAGAACAUGUUUCUCCACUGACUUGCAACUCGGACGAUAAGAUUGUUGCCACGCAUCUGUCACGAUACUGUGCGUACCUAGUGACCUGGUAUCCAGAGCUGCUUCCUGACAACGAUGCAUGGAGCAAAAGCUUGUACGAGGACAUCACGAGGGAAGUCGAGCCUGCCCUCACCAGCCACAUUGCAUCUGCAGCGAUGUCAACGCCGCUGGCUGAGUAUGAGCAGCUAGUUGAUCAUUUGUUAUGUGCAAACACGAAGCAUGAGGUGCUCAAGAAUGGCGCGAGGCUUGGAAAGGAGCUGGCAGAGUUGAUUGAAGACGAGGAGACAGCAUGGAAGUUGCUGGCCAGCUUCUGGUCGGAGAUGAUCCUGUACGUCGCGCCGUCGGACAAUCUGAAAGGGCAUUCGGAGGCCAUCGCCCGGGGCGGCGAGCUGAUAACGCUCCUGUGGGCAUUGCUCACCCAUGCCGGGAUCGUCUGUAGGCCUGGUGAAGACCGCUGCCCUGAUGCAGCUGGUGCUACUACUACUGUUUAAUGGAGUCGUGUGAUAUUUUGUUAUUCCUGUAUUCUUAAUCGUGGGGUGUGUGUGUGUGUGUUGUGUGUUUCUUCUUUAGACGUUUGCAUCUUGCUGGCUGAUGUUGUUGUGGUUGUAUCUUGCUAAGAAUUUGAUUGUUAAACUUCGAUUUCCUGUCCUAGAGUCAAAAGAGACUAAAGAUUAAAAACUGUGGCGUGGCUUGUUGCUACUUACUUGUGUUUUAGAUGAUUACUGCUAGACUAUAUUUAUAUGCCAGCUUAAUCCUGCAUAUGCAGCUGCACGAUCGAGUCGGCGGCAGCGUGACUGAAAGCUCAAAAGCUGUGCCUUGAGACAACGGCAAAGACAAGAACGGCUCCUGGCUGAUGGUGACAAAGCUGGCAAACGAUGGUUGGCAUCAUGUACACAUGUACUACGCAUUAUCAGUGUCUGCCUGAUCCGAGCAAAGAACAUAUUCCAGGUCUCACUAGGAUAGAAAUGAUUGCUAGCACACGGAUAUUAGCGCGCUAGCUAGCAGAAUUGGCACCACCAGCACAACGCAAGCACCUUUGUGCCGUCCAGAUAAAAUCGCGGACAACUUCUUCCUUAGACAACCUUUCAUUCGAAGCUUGUUCAACAGGAGCUCGAAAAAAAGCUCCAAAAACACCAAAUACAAGGUGGAAGGUUUUUGUUCUUAAAUUCUUUGAAGGAGGUGGCUCUAUAAGAUUUUGCUCUUGAAUUCUUGAAUUCUUUUGAGUUUGUGUCAUUCCAACUUUUUUUCAAAUUCUAUCUACCAUGUCUAGCUUCAUUAGGAUUGUCAUCUAGAUCUAGAAGAGAGAGGAGGGAAGAGAGAAAAUAAUUAGAGCUUGAUUAUUUUUUAAAAUAAAAUUUUAUGGUCAUAACCAUUACAAGGCCAUUUUGUCAUCUGAUAUCAUUUUUUCUUCCUACUUAUUAAUUAUUACAUUCAUAGUUUAAUUGAAUUUGAUUUAAUGUAAUAUAGAAUUAGGUUCGAUUAUAUUCCUUCUUACUUAUUAAUUAAUAUAUUCAUAGUUUAAUUGAGUAUGAUUUAAUGUAAUAUAGAAUUAAGUUUGAUUAUAUUUCUUCUUACUUAUUAAUUAUUACAUCCAUAGUUUUAUUGAGUUUGAUUCAAUAUAAUAUAGAAUUGAGUUUGAUUAUGUUUCUUCCUACUGAGUAGUUAUUAGAUAUAUCUACUAUUAUUAAUUGGAGGUUCCUCUUAAGUCCUCAGGUGAAGCCACUGUCGGUAUUUAAACCCGGCAACCUACUAAGGGAAUAAUCGAGGUAGAGUUUUGGUUGGUGGGUGUCGCCGAAAUCAGGAACUCGAUGGUGUACGUAGGCAUGCGAUUUAGAUAGGUUCGAGCCGCUAGAUUGCGUAAUACCCUACGUCCUGUGUGUUGUUUGCUUGUAUUGGAUUGAACUUAUUUGGAGGGGGUCCCUGCCCGUCCUUAUAUAUCGGAGGAGGAGCAGGUUACAGGUCGGUUAUCUUACAGAAGUACUAGUCGGAUUCGACUAGAGAGUCCUACUCUAACUGCUACGAGUAGUUUUCUGUCCUCGACUAGUUUCUGUCCUCCAUGUAGACUACGCCGUCCUGCACCGUAGUCACCAUGUCUGACACAUCUCGGUUUACAACCCCAUAUGCGGAUCUGUCCAAACCUCCUGGUGGGUCCAUAUAUGUAUGUACGACAGCCACCUAGGAUCAUAGGUGGACAGAGAAAUUAUAGAAAUUCUCACAAAAAAUAAAAUAUUUGGCCCUAGGUGGACAAUCUAAAAAGAGAGAGAAAUUAUAGAAAUUCUCACAAAAAUAAAAUAUUUGGCCAUCAAUCGGUAGACUAAAAUCAUCAUAGCUAUUGGAUCUAUUAUGUUUUUUAAAAAAUUACCCCCUAUGCUAUUAUGAAAAUAGCUUAAAGUAACACCUAAAUCUAUAUGUAAAUUACCCACCUCUGCCAUUAUAUAAAAUAAACUAAAGUAACCCCUAAUCAAGAGAAAAAGAAAAAGGAAAAUUUAGAAUCAAAGAGAAAAAGAAAAAGGAAAAGGAAAACCCACAUGCUAUGCUAGAACGAAGAUCAUGGCACACAGGUACAGCCAAAGGGUCCGAUCGAUCCGAAAAGGAGAAGGGAACUGCAUGGGGGCGAUGACAGUUUUGUGUCUCUCUCAGCUCUGUGAAAGAUUAAUUGCAGCGAUCUGGGCACUAAGGAAAGAAAAAGGAAACAAUUUAUCGACAAGCUAAUUUAUCGAUCAUCCUGUGAAGAAUUCUAUUUUUCUCGAUUCAAAAGCUCAGAUGGAUUAUCUCGUUGAGUUCCAGCUGUUUAUGUAUUCUCUCCAUGACUCCAAAGAGCAAAAAAAACCCACCACCAUAUUAACAACCAAAUAAAAACGCUUUUCGUAGAACAUAUGCUUCUGUCGGUGAAACCGAAGAUGAAAGGACGAAGGAAGACGAGAAAAAAGGAAACACUUUGUUUUGCCCUUUUGAGUCUCCCCACCAUCAUGCAUAUGUUCCAAUUUUAUUAUAGCUUUGGUACUGAAAAUAAUGUAAAACCUUUGCUGCGUGUGGUUGAAGAGGUCGGAAACAAUUUUCUUUUUCUAGAAAAAUAUAUUUGUUCCCAUUGAGCCUGUAGGCUCAGGGCGUAGCAGCUCCCUUCGUAACAAAGGUUCACUUUUGUGGUCAAUAACCUCUCCCAGGGAGGCAGGGACGUCGGGACCCGGGGAAAGAUGAGAUAUGGUUUGCAAGAGAAUAUUAAGGAAAAAAUUUUCUUUGAGUACAUUACCUAUAUCCCGAUUGUCACUCCAAACACAGCUCGCUCCUAAUCACUAAUUACUAAACUGAUACAAGUCAACUUGUGAUAAGUUCACCCUAGAAACGAUUAGAAAAGCUCAAAACGACGCGGAAGCUUAAAAGAGCCGCUCGCAAAUUAACAUCAGGCUCAAAAGAAAAAGAUCGGAAGCAAAGCUUCCGAUCUGAUACUAAGGGGGUGUUUGGUUCCACGGACUAAAGUUUAGUCCCUAUCACAUCGAAUAUUUAGAUACUAAUUAGGAGGACUAAACAUGAGCUAAUUACAAAACUAAUUGCACAGAUGGAAACUAAUUCGCGAGAUGAAUCUAUUAAGCCUAAUUAGUACAUGAUUUGAUAACGUGAUGCUACAGUAAAUAUAAGCUAAUCAUGAAUUAAUUAGGUUUAAUAGAUUCGACUCCCGAAUUAGCCUUCACCUGUGCAAUUGAUUUUGUAAUUAAUCUAUAUUUAAUACUUCUAAUUAGUAUCUAAAUAUUUGAUGUGAGAGGGACUAAACUUUAGUCCGUGGAACCAAACCCCCCUAAAGCUAUCUCCAGCUACUGAACUGAAUGCAUGUCAAAAAGCUACCUGAGGUGCUACUCGAGAUUCUAUGGAAACAGAAAAAGGUACAGAUGCAGCAAUGCAAGGUAGAGAUCAGCUUGACAGGAAAAGUGCAGCUGAGUAAUUAAAUAGGCAAAGAUUAAUACUUGCAAGCUCUAGAACUCAAACCAGAAAGAUGCUCAAGCACACAAGCUAGCUGGCCGACUGAACAAAAUAAAAACUGUCACAGGAUCACCGUUUCACAAUAAACAAGCUCACACAGCAUGAAUUGUUCAACGAAAAGGUAGAGCCUAAAUUGCCUUGCAAUGAUUACUUACUGUAGCAUGACAAUGACAUUUCUUUUGAGAAAUUGUGAUCGGAAAAACAAAAGAGUAGUUUAGUGCUUGGACUCUGUAGCAUGAAAGCAACCUUUCAAGAUACUACCUGCUGCUUGAGCUGCUUACCUGCGUGACCUGCAAAACCAAAAGAUGCAGUUCCUGCACUUGCCGCUGGAAUUCAGAUGACAACUAGUUCCUUCUCUUUACCUGCACAGGCUGUCGACUGCCUGAAGGCCAGGCUGCAGCUGUAAAGACGAACGGCACAGACAGAGAAGAAAAUGCAGAGCUGAGGCUGCUACUGCACAAGAAAAUGGGAGACCCAAAGCCGCAGCCUGCACUGAAGAACACACAAUCGAGUCGCGCAAGAAGCUGCUGCAGAAAACUGAAAGCUUGCUGCUGCGAACACAAGCUGUUGCUGCCACUGAUCAAGCUGCAGGCCGCCUGGCUACCAGAUCACAGAAAUCGAACAACGGCCAGACGAUGCACUCGACGCUCAGCCAACAGUCGGACCAGAUGCAUAUGGUCACACCUCGAUGUGCUGACGGGCGAUCCUCUGGUGCACGACACAGCAAACAGAGCAGAACUGGAGCUUUACACCAAAUUCAACAAAAACUAAUCAAAUCAGGACCGUGUGAGGAAUUCAACAAAAACUAAUCAAAUCAGGACUGAUUCACACGGGAUUUUGGACCGCGAUCUCCUCACAUCAUGAGUAAACAGAUCCAAGAAGAAUUCAACAAAAACUAAUCAAAUCAGGACCGAUUCACACAGGAUUUUGGACCGCGAUCUCACAUCAUGAGUAAACAGAUCCAAGAAGAUGAACCCCAAAACAUCAAGAACUCAUCACCAAUUUUGCAAAUUUCGGGAAACCUAGAACAGGGGGAAAUUUUGGGGAAACAACAAAUUCGAGGUGCUCGGCGAGGGUUUUGUUAGAGAAUCACCCUCACAUAUGUCCUAGCAUCGAUUUGCCCAAGAAAUCCGCCUCAAAUCGCAGAAAAAACCGACAAACGGAAAUUCACCGAAAAAAUGCUUCGAAAAUACAGAAAAAAAACGCUCGGGUAUGGACUAGAGGCGAACACUUGCUCGUAUUGCUCCAUCGUGUUCGUUACCAGCCACUCCAAACUUACUCAAAGCAUUGGAUGAAAAAAAAUCAAAUCAAAGAUCUCUCAUUUUUCUAUCCUCUCUCACAUCCAAAAGCUUUUACAAACAAAUGAGAAGCUCACCAUCAAAGAGAUGUGGCUGUCUAACAACCCUCUCCACACACAUAUAUAUAGACAUCCGGAAAAUGACCAGAAUGUCCUUAUAUGAAGCACACAACUUAAAUACCCCUAGAGGUGAAAUCAUCCAACUUUUUGUCGGUACACGAACGGACCUGGCACCUUCACGACUUUGCUUCACCUCGACGCAAGCUUUAUGAUGGUGCCACGCGUCCUCCGACUAGACGCUGUCCGACCGUACUGGACUCUCUCCUCGGUUUUGAGGCCAAACCGGCAAACCCUCUCGCGCACCCCGCUAGGUGUGACUCACCCCCGGUUUUAAGGUCAAACCAGUCAAAUCCUCUUGCACACCCUGCAAGCAUGACUCAUCCCCGAUUUUGAGGUCAAACCAGUCAAACCCUCUUGCACGCCGCGCACGACGUGACUCACCGACAUCAACGCGUGUCCAGCCUCCGCCAAGCCUUCGACGCCUCCAAGUCUUUCGCUCCCGGCUCUCGGGCCGCCUACUCAACUCGCCUCCAUCCCGAUUGACUCGACCGACGCCGUCUCCAUCCCAUCCAUGUACUCUUGUCUUCCGUGCACCAUGUGGAUCGCCCAUGACUCCAUUUGAACUCCUCGAGUCCCUUGGUCCAAGCCUACUCGAGUCCACCCUUCACAACCCUAGUACAUCGGCAUGAACCUUUCGCUUGACCUUCACCUCAUACCGUCGACCGCCAUAUCGCAUCCUACACCUGCGCAUCACAAGUCAAGAGACACAACACACAAGAUAUGGUUUACACAAACAUCACAACACAACGCACACAACACAACAUAUCCGAUGAGCCGUUAAUAUAAUCAUGCACGUAUGAAAUAUAAACUCAACCGGUAAAACCUCAAAUGAUCCCAUCAAUCACUCAUCACAUCACAAAUAGAUCAAGGUACAUGUCAACUUGACCUCUCGAAGUAUUUACUUGUGCUUAUUGCAAUGCGUGUUGCACGCACGGCUCCUUUUUAGCUGCGUGUUCUUUUUUUUAUUUUCUUCUUUAAAACUUAACAUUAGCGGAGAAGCAGAAAUAUUAACGUGGCCUUAUCCUGAACAAGCAAAUUAAUGAAGUUAACUGAACAAUCAAAUUAAUUAAGCUAAAGAAUUGACCAUGUGCAUGGACUUCGUCUAUCUGCAACGGAUCUUUUCACUUGAAAGAAAAAUACCAAAAGUCAGUCAAGGUACCUUUUGGCGAGGAGACUAUCAUCAUUGCCAUAAUAGAAAAUGUUUUAGGCUUAAUCUAGAUGCCCUAGGCAGUAACAAGGAGAUUAUAUUACUUUACUAUUAUUCAUUUCAAAGGGCCGUUAUAAAAAAGUAAAUCCAAAAAAUACUUAUAAAAAUAAAAAAAUAUCUGAGACCAUCGAUAUGGUAUACUCUAAUCAUCAAUGGUGGACCCACAGAUCGUAUGGAGCCCAAGCAGAGACCAACACAUUUCUCUUCCUGUAUCCAGCAAACAAUGUUCCGACCAUGGACUAAAACAACUGUUCUCUCGCAGAUGUGGUGCUAGAACCCGAGUAGACGCCCUGGGUUGCCGGGCCCCGGGACCACCCCUGGUACUCAUUAUUGAUAACAGUACACAUUCAAUACAUUAUGUUUUCUUUAAUAAUUACACACAUCUGUCGUUAAUGCAGGUCGUCGUGGCUGACGACGACAUGCUGUGGGACAGGAACGUGGAGUACGUGCGGAGGAUGGAGGGGAUGGGGAAGCCGGUGGAGGCCGUCGUGUUCCCGGGGCAGGGCACGCCUUCUUCUCGCUUCGGCCAUGGAGCGAGCCGGUGGAGGAGAUGAUUCAGGUUGUGAAGCGGUUCAUGGACAAGGUCUGCUCAGGCUGAGCUGAGCGGUUACUACUGUAGAUGCACUGAGGUGCUACUUUGUGUUCUGAUUUUUCACUGUAAGCUGCAUAAAAUAAAGGGAGACUAAAUUUUAAGUCUCCAUUACUGGAUAUUUAGAGGAUGUUUGGUUCCCAUGGAUUAAAUUUUAAUCCACAGUUUGGUGCACUUUUAGUCCCUAAACACCCAAACAGGUGGGCUAAAGUUUAGACUAAAAAAUUUAAUCCUCUAAUCCACUAAACUAGACUAAAGGAUGUUGGGGACACCCCUACCCCUCAUUUACCACCCUCCCGCCCGGCUCCCUCCCGCCCGGCCUCCCUCCCACCCGCCACCGUCCCUCCCGGCCCCUGCCGCCUUCCACUCAUCGCCAUCACCGCCCGCCGCCCUUCCGCCCACCGCCUUCCUCCCGCGUGCCGCCAACCUCCCACUACUUUGUAGAUGCACUGAGCUGCUACUUUGUAUUCUGAUUUUUCACUGCAAGCUGUAUAAAAUAAAGAGAGACUAAAUUUUAAGCCUCCAUUACUGGAUAUUUACUAUGUUUUCUUCAUUUUGCCCUUCCAUCCAAAACUAUGGCGCCGAAGUGGUGGAUAGUGUGUGUGACCCAUAAAACUUAGCUUCAAAUUCGGCCGGGCUUCAUGUUGCCGCCAUCGUGGGGUAUGGGCCUGAUUUCUACGCAUACUGGGCUGGGCCAACAUCUGGUGAUCGGUGCUUUGUCUUGACCCAACAGAAGUCCCACCACCAACCUCAAAUUCAGAGGACCUAAUAAUCCUCUCAAAAAUUUAGUAAUAAAUAUCUAUAAUCCUCUAAAAUAGUAUUGAAAAACACUCACGAAAACACACGCUUGCUCAUUUGGACCAGUUCCCAUCUAGUGUACCAUGUUAUACUUUUCGAAGAAAAAAAUUACUUAACAGAUUAUCAGCUCUUUUCCAAGACGUCCUUUCAUAAUCGGACUAUUCAAUAUAAAAUAGAGCAUUGAUCUCUCUGUUCAAUUGUUUUCUUUCAAGAGGACAAUCUGUCCGAAUUGCUGAGUCAUCAUGGAUACCAAGUGGACCAUAUGGUUAGAUGUGCAUUGCAUGCACACUGGUACAAAGAGUUAUCUUUGCUUCCCGUCACUCCAGAGCUCGAUCUGAAUAACAGAACCCAUCCAAAACAAUCGAUCUGCUUUCUCCACUUGGUCUUCCUCGGAUCAUGCGAUCAGCUCGUGAUCCAUCACCCUCCACACCCCCCAUUGGAUAAGUCCAUGACGUGCCUUCUUCUCUUCCAUGUCUGUUAACAUCAGUCUAUCCACCGAUACAUUACUCCAUCAUGCAUCAAUAUCUCAUCUUCCAGAAGGGGUUAAAAGUUGAGCUCUUCAUUCAGUCAGUUCUCCUGAGACCUUUUGUACUGAUGAUGAUGUCCUACCUCUGUCAGUUCAGAAUUUCUCACAUUCAGACCCUACCAUCAAGAAAGAGAUCAGAGAGGCAUCUCCAUAUCCGAUCCGAGAUUGCUCCGGCCUCUCAUUUUCAUUUGCAGUCUAGAGGAUGGGAUAUGGUUCGACGAGCAUGGCCAUAACCCGUCGUUUCUUGGCAGAUAUUUGCCGUGGACUGACUCGAUCAGUUGCAACUGAACUAGCUGUCAAUCUAACCCUCCCCUCCCACCUCCCUCCCCUGCUCACACGCGCUGCCCCUCCUUCCCAUCCUCACGCGCAGGCAGCCGUAUCGAACUGGCGUCAGUUUAGAAUUAAGCAGAGAUUGCAUGAUGCUAGUAAGCAGUCAUCCCAUAUGAUUAGUUCCUUUGUGUGCUUGUACCAACAACUUGCUCUAAUCUUGACAUAUGGGAAUUAAAUCAGCUGGCCCAUGGCUGGAGGGAAUUCCUACGAUGCACUGGAGCAAUGCUCCUCUAUGAUUACAUGCGAUGCCCAUAUGGCGUUCUCAUUCGACAAGAGCUUGAGAGAGAAGAUAUGGCUCAUGAACUCACUCCUGCUCACCAGUGCCGUCCUGGCUGGAGUCAUAGUCGGGAUAGGCAUCUACGGCCAGCGCUACCGCCACCACCGCUUCACCAGGUUUAUCUUCCUCGGAGCCACGACCCUGUUCUUGCCUGUCGUCUCAACUGUUGUCUCCAUGGGCGCCGGGAACAGUAACCACAGCAUACUCGGGCGUGGCAUUCGGUUGAUUGCAGAGUGCCAACCAGAAACACACGCGGUCCUGGUUGUAAUAGGGGCAUCCCUUGUUCAGAUCAUCAUGAUCAAUACCAGUGCAGUAGUUGCUGUCGAUGAUAGAGAAGGUGGAAACGUAGGUCCUCCAUUUGAGCUGCUUGUUCAGAGUGUCUGGACCUUUUACCUUGGUAUCAGCAAUCUCAUUCGCAUCACUGACGGAUUAUUUGACACCGAGGAUCUAAUUAUUCUUGCCCUUGAAGCCACACCUUUUGCUCUCACGUGUGCCAAAAUGGUAUUGAAAUAUUGUGCAUAUGAAAAGGCGCGACAAUCCUUUGCUCUCGGACGCAAUCCCCAUCUUAUAUUUGGAUACAUGAAGCAACAAUCGUUACAAGAAACAAGUCAGGAUGGUGAACCAAUGGUAGCUGAGGAUGCACCUCCCCCGCUGCUGGUUAUGGGAGAAGAGAAAAGACACGUGGAGAAGCAGCCUCUUGGGUAUGUGUUCAAGGAUGACUCAUGGACAACUUCGCAUAACAAUGGCCUGGUGACUAUUGAUAGAGUUUGGAGGAUGGAUAACGUGCUUCCAACAUCAACACUGAAACCACAAAAAGACUUAUGCUUGUCAUUUGCAUUGUUCAAGUUGUUGCGGUGCCGAUUUGCAAGGUACAAGGUCAGAACUGCUGCCUCCAAGGGCACCUUGUCACACCCGGUUUGGAUAAAACCGAAUGCAUCGCAUAUGUGUGCCAGGAUCCGUUCUCACACAUAUAUUGAUGUCAUCAGUGAAUACAUCAAAGACAGUGCUAAAAAACGUACAUAAACCAGUAGGAACUUUAUUACACUCAGCGUGAUAGACACGAAGGUCUUUAAUCGUUCACCGAUAACUUAACACGCACGCACACACAGCGUAGCUUCUCCACAGGCUUGACUGGUGGACUGCCUGCCUAGAACUCCUCGAAGUCGUCGAAGAACCCCCGUCGUCACAAGCUUCUGAACAGCGUUUGGGCAAGGGUGAGUACACUUAUGGUUGGUACUCAGCAGGUGGGGGAAACAUGCAAGGCUCACAAGGAAUGGCUCAAGGCUUUAAGCGGUUAGCGUUUUAAUUGGUCAAAUUUUUAUUAGCAGCACCUAAUUACUAGAUGUAAAUUUAUACCAACCCAAUUAAGCAUAUAACAUUAACAUAACCCAAAGGUAAAGGUAACACAGAUUAAUCUCAUCUUUAAGUUCAAUUAUCAUGUGAGGGUCCAAGCCGCUCUUAACCGUGAGCACGGCUGAUAUAUCAGUUUUCACUCUGCAGAGGUUGUACACUUUACCCACAACUCGUGGUCCCCCGUGUCGCCCGGGUUUGCAAAGCCCUUAAACACUUCCUUUGGUGAGUGGCUGGGGGGUCCACUACGAAGCCUUUACAAAGACACGCAGAUAACUGGUAGCCCGCUAGAGUUUCAGUAGCGAUGCGGACCACAACCCGUUAAUGAGACAGCACCUUAGCGAAGGCUACUGCUCCGGAUCGUGCACUCAACACCUUCCCCCUCCUUGCCCUUUCGGUAAAGCCACCAGCUAACUACAUGGCUAAUUAUUCGGCUAAGAUCAGAGCCAUAUGAUGUUGUGGUUGUACUAUUUUCUUGGAUGGUUCUCCAUGUUCCGAUUAAAAUAAAUGUUCUUGCAAUUAAACAUACAUAGCAACAUAAAUAAAGCAUGAUUAACAUGUUUCAUGAUUAACACAUUACCAACCCAAUUUAAGCGACUAGCAAGUCUACCCAAUAUGAUUAAACAGGUUUGCAAGGAAUAAGGAUUAAAACUAGGUAAGUCCUUAAUAGGCAUUCCCAUCAAAUUUAUGCACAUACAAGAAAUAAGUAAAGUGCUUAAUCAUGAUAUUAUUGGGACAAAAAGAACAUGCAGGGGGAGAAGGCCACUUGCCUUCCUUGGCAAACUGGGAGUACUCUUCUUCGAACGGUGGCUGCUCUUGGACUUGCUCCUCCGCGAACGUCACGUCGUCUACACGAUCACACAAGGCAAACAAACAAAGAAUGAUUAAAACAGUACAACAAACAUAUGCAAAGGCUUACAACAAACUUUUAAAUCUAACGUUCAUGCAGAGACGAUCGCGUGAGCGCGAGAAUCGCUGAAAUCGGAUUUAAAACGAAGAAGAUAUGAGAUAAACAAGUUUCAGGAGCUAAAACAGAAUUAGAAUUAACUAUAUACUUCAGGGGCUAGCAAGGAAUUUUAGAAAUAUAUACUGAACAGAACAUGCAAAAAUAGAGAAACAUAGGGUUAGAUCUACAAAAUGACAUGGCUCGGGUUAAAAUAAAAGAAUACAGGAACUUCAGGGACUUCUCUAGAAAAUUUACGAGACACAAGAAUUAAGUAAAAGGAAUAACAGAGAGUUCAGGGACUAGAUCGCAAAAACUCCAUCUUCUUCCUCCAACAGACAACCAAGCACACAGGGGCAUGGCCGACGGGGAGGGGGUCUCGCCGGUGUGGGCGGAGGCCUCGCCGGCGGCGAGCUCGCCGGCGCGCGGGCGGCGGUGCCUCGGUGGGGGAGAGGAGGGAGAGAGGGAAAGGAAGGGGAGGGCCUCACCGGAGAAGAACAGAAGCUUCGCCGGCGACAGUACGGGCGACGGCGUGGCUUGGGCGGCGGCGCGACGGUGUGAGAGAGUGGCGGGUGAGUAGCAAAACGGAAAGGGAAACUCCGGGCGAGGUCGAUGGCGACCUUUAUAGGCCCCGGGGAGGAGCGGAGGGGGCUCCCGGGAGAGAUCGAAGGUCAGCCGGCUAUUAAUGGCCUUCAAGCUUGUGCGGCCGUUUCCGGGGAGAGGAAAGGAUGGGGCGACGAUUUGAGGUCGGGACUGGGGGAGGGGAGACGUCGCGAGGUCGUGGAGGGGCUCGGGAGGCCAAGGGACACCGGGAGGCGAGGGCCCCCGGCCGGCGGUGCAUAGGGGCGCACGGUGGCGCUUCAGGUGCGGGAGGUGGAAGAAGCAGGCCGGCUGGGCCGAUUUGGGCCGGUCGGUGGGGAAGAAAGGAGAGGGAGGUGGCAGCCCAAAGAGAAAAGAGAAGCUGGGCCGGCGCAAGAAAAAGAGGGGGGAAAAGGAGAGGGGAGGUGGCGGCCCAAGAGGAAAAAGGAGAGUUGGGCCUGCGUAGGGAGAAAAGAGGGGGAGAAAAGGAAAAUGGGCCGGCUGGUGGAAAGGGCCCAUUCGGUUGGGAGGGGGAAAGGGAAAAAAAUGCUUGUGGGCUGAAAGAGAGAGAAGAUAUUUCGGCCCAAGGAGAGGAAACAGAGGUGGAGGAUUUUGAGAAUUUAAAAUAGAGUUGAAGUUUUCAAAUCCAAUUCAAAUUCAAAAGCAAGCAUUCAAACAAAAGCCAAAAUAAAAGAGAAAAGAAAAACUCUACCAAGCACUUAUUGCUUCUAAAAUUAUUUCAAGUGCUCUUUAAUUAUUUAAAGACUGUAAUUUAAUUAAAGUAAUUUAUUUAAUCCUUAGAGCACGAAAAACUAGACCGAGUUGCUUACAUUAUUUUCAUGAUGGAAUUUUAGGUGUUACACACCUUCAUUUUUUUCUGGAGCUUAUUGCUGAAGGAUGGCGAACAUGAUAGGGUCUGUUUGGUCAUUUCGGAUGAGCUUUCUUUCCUUCGUGAUUAUUAUUAUUCAUCCCUCCCGACCUCCUAUUCCAAGUAUUGGUUGCCCGUUGCCGGUAUCUUGAUCUCACUACUGAGCAUAGCUUACUGUUGUGCAUUGAUGAUCACAAUAACGUUUUUGGUAGUCCUGCAGUAUGAUGAAUCCCUACCUCAGAUUAGUUGCACUGUUUUUUGCAUUCGAGAACAACUGAUGAGCAACACCAAGUAUAAAGAUUAUGGGAACUGGUGCCAGUAAUUUUGCUUUCGGUGUUAGUGAUGAUGUCUGAGGUGACGGACAUAGCUACCUACAUCUACUCCAACUGGACUAAAGUUGCCGUCACCUGCCACCUUGUAAACCAUGCCUCUUCGCAGCAUUCACUUCUCAAGAAGAAAUGGAUUGGCCUUCUGCUGCGUUGUCGAUGCAAGCUGAUGAAGCAUUGGGAUGAGAAAAUAGGUCAGUGCACUAUGCUGGAGAUUCGCCCGAGCACAACCCUGCCUGUACUAAUUCUCAGGCGUCUCCUCCACUUACCAGACCACAAGAGGAAGGUCAAGGUGCCUGCAGCAGUGAAGGUUUGCAUCAUGGAAGUUGUAAGAAGCACUAGAAAUGGAGACCUUAGCAAUGGCACAGCAUCUCUCCGCCGCCGGGGCCAAGUUGGUGAAAGGCUCCUCUGGGCUUGCAACACCAAGAGUACGUCUUAUACCAUACUGACAUGGCACAUCGCCACAUGCAUCCUCGAGGUCAGGUACCCACACCGGCUUGAUCAACGACAAGGUUCUUCUUCUCCAAUUCCAAACACGGAUUAUAAGAUCGUUGCCACUCACCUAUCAAGGUACUGUGCUUACCUUGUGACAUGGUGCCCUGAGUUACUCCCUGAUGAUGAUGCAUGGAGCAGGAGCCUGUACGAGGAUGUCAAGAAGGAUGUUGAGCGUGUACUUGCCGGCUGCACAGCAGGAGACUCACUGACGCCAGAAGCAAAUUGCCAACAGCUGAUCGAAGUGCUGAGUGCAGAUGCGAAGCAUGAAGUGCUCAAGGAAGGCGCUAGGCUUGGAAAGCAGUUGUUGGCGCUGGUGGUCGAAGGUGAGGACGAUACGGCGGCGUGGAAGUUACUGGCUGAAUUUUGGUCGGAGAUGAUCGUGUAUGUCGCGCCAUCCGACAACCUCAAAGGUCAUUCGGAGGCCAUCGCCAGGGGUGGCGAGCUGAUAACUCUGCUCUGGGUGUUGCUCUUCCAUGCUGGGAUCCUCAGUAGGCCAGGUGAGGACGACGGCGUUGCUCCUACUUCUGCUG